UUGCCUAUAACAUUUACAAGGGUAUCUGUGU
RNAcentral lists this non-coding RNA (31 nucleotides) under Mus musculus (house mouse). The record is from RNAcentral. Lineage: Eukaryota; Metazoa; Chordata; Mammalia; Rodentia; Muridae.